UAAACAGAAGCCAAUACCGGGCGCCUAGCUGUUAAUUAGGAAGUUGUAAAUAUUUUACCUGUUUAG
This 66-nucleotide transfer RNA is filed under the name Lepetodrilus schrolli. Its description in RNAcentral is "tRNA-Asn". The record is from RNAcentral. Lineage: Eukaryota; Metazoa; Mollusca; Gastropoda; Lepetellida; Lepetodrilidae.